RNAcentral lists this transfer RNA (75 nucleotides) under Pseudomonadota bacterium. RNAcentral's name for it is "tRNA-Pro". It matches the Rfam family "tRNA". Rfam says of the family: Transfer RNA (tRNA) molecules are approximately 80 nucleotides in length. The record is from RNAcentral. RNAcentral also lists the same sequence under 1 other name. Lineage: Bacteria; Pseudomonadati; Pseudomonadota.
CGGGGCGUAGCGCAGCAUGGCUAGCGCGCCACGCUUGGGACGUGGAGGUCGCCGGUUCGAAUCCGGCCGCCCCGA